This 184-nucleotide unclassified non-coding RNA is filed under the name Neosartorya paulistensis. Its description in RNAcentral is "ITS1". Lineage: Eukaryota; Fungi; Ascomycota; Eurotiomycetes; Eurotiales; Aspergillaceae. The record is from RNAcentral.
CCGAGUGAGGGCCCUCCGGGUCCAACCUCCCACCCGUGUCUAUCGUACCUUGUUGCUUCGGCGGGCCCGCCGUUUCGACGGCCGCCGGGGAGGCCUCGCGCCCCCGGGCCCGCGCCCGCCGAAGACCCCAACAUGAACGCUGUUCUGAAAGUAUGCAGUCUGAGUUGAUUAUCAUAAUCAGUUA